Molecule: ribosomal RNA, 253 nt
Filed under: uncultured bacterium
Lineage: Bacteria
Description: partial 16S ribosomal RNA
Rfam family: Bacterial small subunit ribosomal RNA
Source: RNAcentral
UACGAAGGGGGCUAGCGUUGCUCGGAAUCACUGGGCGUAGAGCGCACGUAGGCGGACUCUUAAGUCGGUGGUGAAAUCCUGGAGCUCAACUCCAGAACUGCCUUCGAUACUGAGAGUCUUGAGUCCGGGAGAGGUGAGUGGAACUGCGAGUGUAGAGGUGAAAUUCGUAGAUAUUCGCAAGAACACCAGUGGCGAAGGCGGCUCACUGGCCCGGUACUGACGCUGAGGUGCGGAAGCGUGGGGAGCGAACAGG